Molecule: long non-coding RNA, 1091 nt
Organism: Anas platyrhynchos (mallard)
Lineage: Eukaryota; Metazoa; Chordata; Aves; Anseriformes; Anatidae
Source: RefSeq, a predicted model, not a curated record
UGAGAGCCCCAGUCAAUAUGGGGGGUUGGUGCUACAGCAGUGUUUCUUGGCAGUAUGAUCUUUGAAACAUACUCAAAGGAACAAUGUGAGGGCAAAUACCUGCUGACAUGCCACAGAAUCUUACAGAGCAGAGAAAGGAAGAAGGAAUGAAAAGUGAAAUUUAACUAUUAGUAGUAAAUCGUAAGUAAGUAGUAAAGCAUGUGAAGGGAUAUGAAGGCAUCCCAAUCAUGAUGGGAUUUUCACUGAAGGCUAUAAUAUGAGCUCAAGAUCUCUGAACAAUGCUACACAGUGCAUUGGACCAUUGCCCAGGCAACCUGCCCAGGAAAUAAGUUAUUUCUUCCAGCUGCUCCAGUUCACAAGGGAUGAAAUGGUCAUUGUCAAGCACGACUGUUUUCCUGGAGUUGUUCUACACAGAAGACACAUUUCAGUGGCAACUGAAACUGGAGUCCUGACCUUGACCUGGGCAAAAGAGGAAAAUGAGGUGGGCAGAACAGAGUGCAAUCUUGCUGCUGAUCUAAAACCCACCUGGGCCGAGCCCUGUAAUCCCGUGCCUGCUGCAGCCAACUCCAGCUCAACAUACUGCCAGCACGGGCACGCCACUUGGUGCUGGGGGCAGGCAGUUCUGGUAAGGAUUCCCCCUCCUGGUGCAUUCUUUUGGGAGCCUGCAAAUACCAGGUGAGGCCAAGACAAAGGGAAGGACGUGGCUGGAAGCAGCAGGCUGUGUGGCUGAUGGGCACCUGGGUGUCUGUGGUUUCAAAGCCCUAGAAAAGGGGGCUGGGUUUUUUUUCACAGGGCUUGUGAAUGGUGCGGGGAAUCAAGCAGAACUUAAUGCAUAGGCUUGCUCUCUUCAGAAAGGUGGAUACAGCUCGGUGGGGGAGUUUGCAUCUUAAGCUGUCCUGCUGUGCUAUCACACUGGCACUUGUGGGUAGUGCUCACAAUAAAAAUUCAGUGUUAUGUCUUGAGUGAGCAAGUCACUGAGACUGAAACUGCCACAGCAGCAGGGAUAAAUGCUGGCUAAGUGCAGCAUUUCUAAAUGCUCUAUAAAUAAUUUGGCAUGCAAAAGUAAGUGCAGGAAGAUUUAUGUAUCGAGC